This 426-nucleotide ribosomal RNA is filed under the name uncultured Actinomycetes bacterium. RNAcentral describes it as "bacterial SSU rRNA". It matches the Rfam family "Bacterial small subunit ribosomal RNA", at positions 958 to 1385 of the family's 1533-position model. Lineage: Bacteria; Bacillati; Actinomycetota; Actinomycetes. The record is from RNAcentral.
AACGCGAAGAACCUUACCAAGGCUUGACAUAUACCGGAAACGUCCAGAGAUGGUCGCCCCGUAAGGUCGGUAUACAGGUGGUGCAUGGUUGUCGUCAGCUCGUGUCGUGAGAUGUUGGGUUAAGUCCCGCAACGAGCGCAACCCUCGUUCUAUGUUGCCAGCACGUAAUGGUGGGAACUCAUGGGAUACUGCCGGGGUCAACUCGGAGGAAGGUGGGGAUGACGUCAAAUCAUCAUGCCCCUUAUGUCUUGGGCUUCACGCAUGCUACAAUGGCCAGUACAAUGGGCUGCGAUACCGCAAGGUGGAGCGAAUCCCAAAAAGCUGGUCCCAGUUCGGAUUGAGGUCUGCAACUCGACCUCAUGAAGUCGGAGUCGCUAGUAAUCGCAGAUCAGCAACGCUGCGGUGAAUACGUUCCCGGGCCUUGUA